AGCAAACGCUGGCGGCGUGCCUAAUACAUGCAAGUCGAACGGGGAAAGUAGCAAUACGAGUACUAGUGGCGCACGGGUGAGGAACACGUGGGUAAUCUGCCUUCGAGCGGGGGAUAACUAGUCGAAAGAUUAGCUAAUACCGCAUAAGACCACAAUGUCUGAGGACAAAGGGGUCAAAGUCGCAAGACACUUGAAGAUGAGCCCGCGUAAGAUUAGCUAGUUGGUGAGGUAAUGGCUCACCAAGGCGAUGAUCUUUAGCUGGUCUGAGAGGAUGAUCAGCCACACUGGAACUGAGACACGGUCCAGACUCCUACGGGAGGCAGCAGUAGGGAAUAUUGCGCAAUGGGGGAAACCCUGACGCAGCGACGCCGCGUGAGUGAUGAAGGCCUUCGGGUCGUAAAGCUCUGUUAUAUGGGAAUAAGAUCUGAAUGUACCAUGUGAGAAAGGAUCGGCUAACUUCGUGCCAGCAGCCGCAGUAA
This 479-nucleotide ribosomal RNA is filed under the name uncultured bacterium. RNAcentral describes it as "partial 16S ribosomal RNA". It matches the Rfam family "Bacterial small subunit ribosomal RNA", at positions 29 to 523 of the family's 1533-position model. The record is from RNAcentral.